Molecule: ribosomal RNA, 665 nt
Filed under: uncultured bacterium
Lineage: Bacteria
Description: bacterial SSU rRNA
Rfam family: Bacterial small subunit ribosomal RNA
Source: RNAcentral
AGAGUUCGUAGGUGGUUGAAAAAGUUAGUGGUGAAAUCCCAGAGCCUAACUCUGGAACUGCCAUUAAAACUUUUCAGCUAGAGUAUGAUAGAGGAAAGCAGAAUUUCUAGUGUAGAGGUGAAAUUCGUAGAUAUUAGAAAGAAUACCAAUUGCGAAGGCAGCUUUCUGGAUCAUUACUGACACUGAGGAACGAAAGCAUGGGUAGCGAAGAGGAUUAGAUACCCUCGUAGUCCAUGCCGUAAACGAUGUGUGUUAGACGUUGGAAAUUUAUUUUCAGUGUCGCAGCGAAAGCGAUAAACACACCGCCUGGGGAGUACGACCGCAAGGUUAAAACUCAAAUGAAUUGACGGGGACCCGCACAAGUAGUGGAGCAUGUGGUUUAAUUCGAAGAUACGCGCAGAACCUUACCAACACUUGACAUGUUCGUCGCGACUCUAAGAGAUUAGAGUUUUCGGUUCGGCCGGACGAAACACAGGUGCUGCAUGGCUGUCGUCAGCUCGUGUCGUGAGAUGUUGGGUUAAGUCCCGCAACGAGCGCAACCCUCACUUUUAGUUGCCAUCAUUAAGUUGGGCACUCUGAAAGAACUGCCAGUGAUAAGCUGGAGGAAGGUGGGGAUGACGUCAAGUCCUCAUGGCCCUUACGUGUUGGGCUACACACGUGCUACA